UUUUAGCCACUAAUUACAGUGGAAAUCCUUUUUAUUUUUAAAUAAAAAAUAAAAAUAUUGUAACGAAAGCGGGACACGAG
Molecule: small RNA, 80 nt
Filed under: Flavobacterium sp. 11
Lineage: Bacteria; Pseudomonadati; Bacteroidota; Flavobacteriia; Flavobacteriales; Flavobacteriaceae
Description: Flavo-1 RNA
Rfam family: Flavo-1 RNA
Source: RNAcentral